GGUUAAGCGACUAAGCGUACACGGUGGAUGCCCUGGCAGUCAGAGGCGAUGAAGGGCGUGCUAAUCUGCGAUAAGCGCCGGUAAGGUGAUAUGAACCGUUAUAACCGGCGAUACCCGAAUGGGGAAACCCAGUGUGAUUCGUCACACUAUCAUUAACUGAAUCCAUAGGUUAAUGAGGCGAACCGGGGGAACUGAAACAUCUAAGUACCCCGAGGAAAAGAAAUCAACCGAGAUUCCCCCAGUAGCGGCGAGCGAACGGGGAGGAGCCCAGAGCCUGAAUCAGCAUGUGUGUUAGUGGAAGCGUCUGGAAAGGCGCGCGAUACAGGGUGACAGCCCCGUACACAAAAGCGCAUGUGCUGUGAGCUCGAUGAGUAGGGCGGGACACGUGGUAUCCUGUCUGAAUAUGGGGGGACCAUCCUCCAAGGCUAAAUACUCCUGACUGACCGAUAGUGAACCAGUACCGUGAGGGAAAGGCGAAAAGAACCCCGGCGAGGGGAGUGAAAAAGAACCUGAAACCGUGUACGUACAAGCAGUGGGAGCACCCUUCGGGGUGUGACUGCGUACCUUUUGUAUAAUGGGUCAGCGACUUAUAUUCUGUAGCAAGGUUAACCGUAUAGGGGAGCCGGAGGGAAACCGAGUCUUAACCGGGCGUUAAGUUGCAGGGUAUAGACCCGAAACCCGGUGAUCUAGCCAUGGGCAGGUUGAAGGUUGGGUAACACUAACUGGAGGACCGAACCGACUAAUGUUGAAAAAUUAGCGGAUGACCUGUGGCUGGGGGUGAAAGGCCAAUCAAACCGGGAGAUAGCUGGUUCUCCCCGAAAGCUAUUUAGGUAGCGCCUCGUGAAUUCAUCUCCGGGGGUAGAGCACUGUUUCGGCUAGGGGGCCAUCCCGGCUUACCAACCCGAUGCAAACUGCGAAUACCGGAGAAUGUUAUCACGGGAGACACACGGCGGGUGCUAACGUCCGUCGUGAAGAGGGAAACAACCCAGACCGCCAGCUAAGGUCCCAAAGUCAUGGUUAAGUGGGAAACGAUGUGGGAAGGCCCAGACAGCCAGGAUGUUGGCUUAGAAGCAGCCAUCAUUUAAAGAAAGCGUAAUAGCUCACUGGUCGAGUCGGCCUGCGCGGAAGAUGUAACGGGGCUAAACCAUGCACCGAAGCUGCGGCAGCGAACGUAUCACCCAAGACAACUUUACGGAGUUGACGAUUGACGGAGCGAAGCGACGUCAAAGCGUUCAUUAAAGUCGAGUUGGCUUAGGGAUACGUUCGUUGGGUAGGGGAGCGUUCUGUAAGCCUGUGAAGGUGUGUCGUGAGGCAUGCUGGAGGUAUCAGAAGUGCGAAUGCUGACAUAAGUAACGAUAAAGCGGGUGAAAAGCCCGCUCGCCGGAAGACCAAGGGUUCCUGUCCAACGUUAAUCGGGGCAGGGUGAGUCGACCCCUAAGGCGAGGCCGAAAGGCGUAGUCGAUGGGAAACGGGUUAAUAUUCCCGUACUUGGUGUUACUGCGAAGGGGGGACGGAGAAGGCUAUGUUGGCCGGGCGACGGUUGUCCCGGUUUAAGCGUGUAGGUGUGUGUUCCAGGUAAAUCCGGUUCACUUUAACACUGAGGCGUGACGACGAGGCACUACGGUGCUGAAGCAACAAAUGCCCUGCUUCCAGGAAAAGCCUCUAAGCAUCAGGUAACACGAAAUCGUACCCCAAACCGACACAGGUGGUCAGGUAGAGAAUACCAAGGCGCUUGAGAGAACUCGGGUGAAGGAACUAGGCAAAAUGGUGCCGUAACUUCGGGAGAAGGCACGCUGACACGUAGGUGAAGUGAUUUACUCAUGGAGCUGAAGUCAGUCGAAGAUACCAGCUGGCUGCAACUGUUUAUUAAAAACACAGCACUGUGCAAACACGAAAGUGGACGUAUACGGUGUGACGCCUGCCCGGUGCCGGAAGGUUAAUUGAUGGGGUCAGCGUAAGCGAAGCUCCUGAUCGAAGCCCCGGUAAACGGCGGCCGUAACUAUAACGGUCCUAAGGUAGCGAAAUUCCUUGUCGGGUAAGUUCCGACCUGCACGAAUGGCGUAAUGAUGGCCAGGCUGUCUCCACCCGAGACUCAGUGAAAUUGAACUCGCUGUGAAGAUGCAGUGUACCCGCGGCAAGACGGAAAGACCCCGUGAACCUUUACUAUAGCUUGACACUGAACAUUGAGCCUUGAUGUGUAGGAUAGGUGGGAGGCUUUGAAGUGUGGACGCCAGUCUGCAUGGAGCCGACCUUGAAAUACCACCCUUUAAUGUUUGAUGUUCUAACGUGGACCCGUAAUCCGGGUUGCGGACAGUGUCUGGUGGGUAGUUUGACUGGGGCGGUCUCCUCCUAAAGAGUAACGGAGGAGCACGAAGGUUGGCUAAUCCUGGUCGGACAUCAGGAGGUUAGUGCAAUGGCAUAAGCCAGCUUGACUGCGAGCGUGACGGCGCGAGCAGGUGCGAAAGCAGGUCAUAGUGAUCCGGUGGUUCUGAAUGGAAGGGCCAUCGCUCAACGGAUAAAAGGUACUCCGGGGAUAACAGGCUGAUACCGCCCAAGAGUUCAUAUCGACGGCGGUGUUUGGCACCUCGAUGUCGGCUCAUCACAUCCUGGGGCUGAAGUAGGUCCCAAGGGUAUGGCUGUUCGCCAUUUAAAGUGGUACGCGAGCUGGGUUUAGAACGUCGUGAGACAGUUCGGUCCCUAUCUGCCGUGGGCGCUGGAGAACUGAGGGGGGCUGCUCCUAGUACGAGAGGACCGGAGUGGACGCAUCACUGGUGUUCGGGUUGUCAUGCCAAUGGCACUGCCCGGUAGCUAAAUGCGGAAGAGAUAAGUGCUGAAAGCAUCUAAGCACGAAACUUGCCCCGAGAUGAGUUCUCCCUGAGACUUAGAGUCUCCUGAAGGAACGUUGAAGACGACGACGUUGAUAGGCCGGGUGUGUAAGCGCAGCGAUGCGUUGAGCUAACCGGUACUAAUGAACCGUGAGGCUUAACCUU
This 2990-nucleotide ribosomal RNA is filed under the name Salmonella enterica. RNAcentral describes it as "23S ribosomal RNA". It matches the Rfam family "Bacterial large subunit ribosomal RNA". RNAcentral also lists the same sequence under 2 other names. The record is from RNAcentral. Lineage: Bacteria; Pseudomonadati; Pseudomonadota; Gammaproteobacteria; Enterobacterales; Enterobacteriaceae.